RNAcentral lists this ribosomal RNA (495 nucleotides) under uncultured bacterium. RNAcentral's name for it is "partial 16S ribosomal RNA". It matches the Rfam family "Bacterial small subunit ribosomal RNA", at positions 29 to 506 of the family's 1533-position model. The record is from RNAcentral.
AUGAACGCUGGCGGCGUGCCUAAUACAUGCAAGUCGAGCGCACAGACGAGGAGCUUGCUCCUCUGACGUUAGCGGCGGACGGGUGAGUAACACGUGGAUAACCUACCUAUAAGACUGGGAUAACUUCGGGAAACCGGAGCUAAUACCGGAUAAUAUAUUGAACCGCAUGGUUCAAUAGUGAAAGACGGUUUUGCUGUCACUUAUAGAUGGAUCCGCGCCGCAUUAGCUAGUUGGUAAGGUAACGGCUUACCAAGGCAACGAUGCGUAGCCGACCUGAGAGGGGGAUCGGCCAACCUGGAACUGAGAACCGGUCAAGCCUCCUAGGGGGGGCAGAAGGGGGGAAUCUUCCGAAAUGGGGGAAAGCCUGACGGAGCAACGCCGGGGGGGUGAUGAAGGUUUUCGGAUCGAAAAACUCUUUUUUUAGGGAAAAAAAAAUGUGUAAGUAACUAUGCACGUCUGAAGGGUACCAAAACAAAAAGCCACGGCAAACUACGU